GCUUUGGGCGGCCUACAAUGCAAGUCGAGCGGUAGCACAGAGAGCUUGCUCUCGGGUGACGAGCGGCGGACGGGUGAGUAAUGUCUGGGAAACUGCCUGAUGGAGGGGGAUAACUACUGGAAACGGUAGCUAAUACCGCAUAACGUCGCAAGACCAAAGUGGGGGACCUUCGGGCCUCAUGCCAUCAGAUGUGCCCAGAUGGGAUUAGCUGGUAGGUGGGGUAACGGCUCACCUAGGCGACGAUCCCUAGCUGGUCUGAGAGGAUGACCAGCCACACUGGAACUGAGACACGGUCCAGACUCCUACGGGAGGCAGCAGUGGGGAAUAUUGCACAAUGGGCGCAAGCCUGAUGCAGCCAUGCCGCGUGUGUGAAGAAGGCCUUCGGGUUGUAAAGCACUUUCAGCGGGGAGGAAGGCGGUGAGGUUAAUAACCUCAUCGAUUGACGUUACCCGCAGAAGAAGCACCGGCUAACUCCGUGCCAGCAGCCGCGGUAAUACGGAGGGUGCAAGCGUUAAUCGGAAUUACUGGGCGUAAAGCGCACGCAGGCGGUCUGUCAAGUCGGAUGUGAAAUCCCCGGGCUCAACCUGGGAACUGCAUUCGAAACUGGCAGGCUAGAGUCUUGUAGAGGGGGGUAGAAUUCCAGGUGUAGCGGUGAAAUGCGUAGAGAUCUGGAGGAAUACCGGUGGCGAAGGCGGCCCCCUGGACAAAGACUGACGCUCAGGUGCGAAAGCGUGGGGAGCAAACAGGAUUAGAUACCCUGGUAGUCCACGCUGUAAACGAUGUCGAUUUGGAGGUUGUGCCCUUGAGGCGUGGCUUCCGGAGCUAACGCGUUAAAUCGACCGCCUGGGGAGUACGGCCGCAAGGUUAAAACUCAAAUGAAUUGACGGGGGCCCGCACAAGCGGUGGAGCAUGUGGUUUAAUUCGAUGCAACGCGAAGAACCUUACCUGGUCUUGACAUCCACAGAACUUUCCAGAGAUGGAUUGGUGCCUUCGGGAACUGUGAGACAGGUGCUGCAUGGCUGUCGUCAGCUCGUGUUGUGAAAUGUUGGGUUAAGUCCCGCAACGAGCGCAACCCUUAUCCUUUGUUGCCAGCGGUUAGGCCGGGAACUCAAAGGAGACUGCCAGUGAUAAACUGGAGGAAGGUGGGGAUGACGUCAAGUCAUCAUGGCCCUUACGACCAGGGCUACACACGUGCUACAAUGGCAUAUACAAAGAGAAGCGACCUCGCGAGAGCAAGCGGACCUCAUAAAGUAUGUCGUAGUCCGGAUUGGAGUCUGCAACUCGACUCCAUGAAGUCGGAAUCGCUAGUAAUCGUAGAUCAGAAUGCUACGGUGAAUACGUUCCCGGGCCUUGUACACACCGCCCGUCACACCAUGGGAGUGGGUUGCAAAAGAAGUAGGUAGCUUAACCUUCGGGAGGGCGCUUACCACUUUGAAUCACGG
RNAcentral lists this ribosomal RNA (1442 nucleotides) under Klebsiella sp. NB-91. RNAcentral describes it as "bacterial SSU rRNA". It matches the Rfam family "Bacterial small subunit ribosomal RNA". Lineage: Bacteria; Pseudomonadati; Pseudomonadota; Gammaproteobacteria; Enterobacterales; Enterobacteriaceae. The record is from RNAcentral.